This 250-nucleotide unclassified non-coding RNA is filed under the name plant metagenome. RNAcentral describes it as "partial contains small subunit ribosomal RNA, internal transcribed spacer 1, and 5.8S ribosomal RNA". The record is from RNAcentral.
GUAGGUGAACCUGCGGAAGGAUCAUUAAAAGUGAUUGGUUAUACAUUUCAUGUAUCAACUGCAUAAACCCAUUCCGAGUAUCUUGCCUGUUGCUUCCAUGGGGCCUGACCUCGGUCACUCUUGUGAUGUGAAAUUCCAGAGAGUCCCCAUGGGAGGUAAUCAUUAAAUUCAUGUAUCCAAUGUCUUCUGUCUGAACUGUUUAUGACAAAUGUUAAAACUUUCAACAACGGAUCUCUUGGUUCUCGCAUCG